AUGAUUAAUACUUUGCCUUUAUUUUAGUUCUGUAAAAUAAUUAUUAUACUAGUGCAGAGUCUGCGCAUCGCAGCGGAUAGUUAAUUAAAAUAUAUAAUUAUUAAAAUUUUACGAUUAAAAAUUUAUUUAGUAUGUUAAAAAAGUAAUUUUUAUUAAUAUUUUCUUAAUUUUUGAAUAGUUAUAUUAUUCUAAUAAUUUUAUUUAAAAAUUAAUCAAAAUUAAUAGUUUGAAAAACUGUUCAAUAAAUAACUUUUUUAACUAAAAAAUAAAAAUAUGAAUGUAUCGCUUAAUUGCUCAAAAUUAAUUUUUGUAAAAUAUAAAAUUAAUUUAAACUUUCAUCAAUAUUUCUUUUAUUUUUUAAUCUGCAAUCUAUAUCUAAAUACCAAAUAUUAUAAAAUAAAAUUUUAUAUUUAAUAUAAAUAGUUUAAACUAUUAAAAAAUUAUUUAUAUAUUUUAAAUUUUUAUAAUAACAAAUAAAAAAUAAAAUUGGACUUAAAAAAAGAUUAUAAAUUUUUUUCCCAUAUUUAAAGAGAGAAAGGGUAGGAAAGGGGAGAGAAAAAAAGGGCAGGGGAAGAGAAAGAGAGGAAGAGGGUGUGAAGAGAGAGGGUAAGCUGGCAGGGGAGGGAAAGGAAGAGAGGCUCGGGUGGAAGAAGGGGAAGAGAGAGGGGCUCGGGUGAGAGAUAGCCUCGCCACGUAGAAUGAAGCAAAAAAUAGGGGUGCCACAUGUGAUCGAUGCCAAAUUAUAUAGUGUUCGUUUCUAAAAGUUUAAGUUAUUAGAGAACGAUGUUUAUAUAUUUUUAUAGUUAAUACUUUUUUUCACGUCUAGGCUCGAGAUUUUUCCUCAUGUCUGGACUCGAGAAUUUUUUUUUAAUGCCCCAUCACGUGGACUUGAAUUAAAUGAGAGAAAAUUAAUAAUAUUAGAAGGUUGGUGUGACUCGAACUGAAAAUCUCACGUUCUGAUAUCAAUGUGAAAUUUUUGUCCCUUCUUGAGAUAAGAAAAUGAGAAAAUUUUUAAGAUUCCAAUAUCAUAAUUACACGUUCUUCUAUAUAUACACACACGUGAAUUGAGGUGACGAUUUUGCCCCUUUUGAGGAUACGUGAGGACACGUCCUCUUAUGUACAUACGCGAAUCAAUGUGAGGAUUUUGUCCCUUCCCAAGAUAAGAAAAUGAGGAUUUUGUGGAAAAAAAUUUGGAUAGAUUUGGUAACUUUCCGAGGUAGAUUUGAAAAAAUUUGAUAUCUUUUCAAGAUUUAAUUAUAAAAUCUAGAUUUGUUAUUUUAUAGAGAUAAAAUAAUUUUGAAAUUUAAAAUAAAAAAUAUUAGAAAAACGUGGAGGCGCCACGUGUAUUUAAGAAACCGUUAUAUAUUUGUAAUAAGAAAAUAAGAAUUUUCUCGGAAAAGAUUUGAAUAGAUUUAGUAUUUUUCUAAUGUGAAUUUAGAAAGAUGUGGUAAUUUUUCGAGAUUAAUCAUGAAAUUCAAAUUUGAUAUUUUAUCGAACUAAGAUAAUUAUGGAAUUCAAAAUAAAAAAUACUGAAAAAAUGUGAAGGCGCCGCUUGUAUUUAAGAAACCGCUGAUUUAAAUAUUUG
This 1585-nucleotide long non-coding RNA is filed under the name Ananas comosus (pineapple). RNAcentral's name for it is "long non-coding RNA (ACOM_LNC028786)". The record is from RNAcentral. Lineage: Eukaryota; Viridiplantae; Streptophyta; Magnoliopsida; Poales; Bromeliaceae.